RNAcentral lists this ribosomal RNA (494 nucleotides) under uncultured bacterium. RNAcentral describes it as "partial 16S ribosomal RNA". It matches the Rfam family "Bacterial small subunit ribosomal RNA", at positions 28 to 507 of the family's 1533-position model. The record is from RNAcentral.
GACGAACGCUGGCGGCGUGCUUAACACAUGCAAGUCGAACGGAAAGGCCUGCUUUCCCUUGUGGAUUGCGGGUACUCGAGUGGCGAACGGGUGAGUAACACGUGAGUGAUCUGCCCCCAACUUGGGUAUAAGCCUGGGAAACUGGGUCUAAUUCCCGAUAGGACUGCAGGGUGGUGCCUGUGGUGGAAAACGAUUUUCUAGUGGUUGGGGAUGAGCUGGCGGCCUAUCAGCUUGGUGGUGGGGUAAUGGCCUACCGAGGCGGCGACGGGUAGCCGGCCUGGGGUGGACGGCGGCAACAGUAGGGCGGCGCGGCGGCGACGACUCCGGCGGGCAGCAGCGGGGAGUAGUGCUGCAUGGGGGGCGGACUGCUGCAGCGGCGACGCGGGGGGGGUGAUGGCGGCCGUCGUGUGAUACUCUUCUGUCGGUGAAGAGGGAGCGCCUUGGUUGGGGGGGUGUUGACGGUAGUGGUAGAAGAAGCACCGGCUAACUACGUG